GGUGUUUAGUUAUAUAUAGGUACUACUAUAUGUAGUUUAAUAGGGAAGUUAGGUGCAAUUCCGACGCUGUCCCCGCAACUGUAAAGCUGACGAUGAUUCAAUGCCACUAUGCAAUCGCAUGGGAAGGGAAUCGGAGAAUGAAGCUAAGCCAGGAGACCUGCCUAUAUAAAACAAAUUUA
Molecule: non-coding RNA, 179 nt
Filed under: Mesobacillus subterraneus
Lineage: Bacteria; Bacillati; Bacillota; Bacilli; Caryophanales; Bacillaceae
Source: RNAcentral